ACUUAAAUAAUAUAAUUAUUAUAUUUGACUUCCAAUCAAAAAAUCUAGAAAAUAGUUUAAGUA
This 63-nucleotide transfer RNA is filed under the name Scolytinae sp. BMNH 1274292. Its description in RNAcentral is "tRNA-Gly". The record is from RNAcentral. Lineage: Eukaryota; Metazoa; Arthropoda; Insecta; Coleoptera; Curculionidae.